Molecule: microRNA precursor, 203 nt
Filed under: Oryza nivara
Lineage: Eukaryota; Viridiplantae; Streptophyta; Magnoliopsida; Poales; Poaceae
Description: MIR812 microRNA precursor family
Rfam family: MIR812 microRNA precursor family
Source: Rfam by way of RNAcentral
AAUAGAUGACGCUAUUGACUUUUUUUCACAUGUUUGACCAUUCGUCUUAUUCAAAAAAUUUACAUAAUUAUAAUUUAUUUUGUUAUGAGUUGUUUAAUUACUCAUAGUUCUUUAAGUGUGAUUUAUAUCUAUAUAUUUGCAUAAAUUUUUUGAAUAAGACGAAUGAUCAAAUAUGUGAGAAAAAGUCAACGGCGUCAUCUAUU